Molecule: ribosomal RNA, 482 nt
Filed under: uncultured bacterium
Lineage: Bacteria
Description: bacterial SSU rRNA
Rfam family: Bacterial small subunit ribosomal RNA
Source: RNAcentral
AUUGAACGCUGGUGGCAUGCCUUACACAUGCAAGUCGAACGGUAACGCGGGGCAACCUGGCGAUGAGUGGCGAACGGGUGAGUAAUAUAUCGGAACGUGCCCAGUAGUGGGGGAUAGCCCGGCGAAAGCCGGAUUAAUACCGCAUGAGACCUGAGGGUGAAAGCGGGGGAUCGCAAGACCUCGCGCUAUUGGAGCGGCCGAUAUCAGAUUAGGUAGUUGGUGGGGUAAAGGCCUACCAAGCCGACGAUCUGUAGCUGGUCUGAGAGGACGACCAGCCACACUGGGACUGAGACACGGCCCAGACUCCUACGGGAGGCAGCAGUGGGGAAUUUUGGACAAUGGGCGCAAGCCUGAUCCAGCCAUGCCGCGUGCGGGAAGAAGGCCUUCGGGUUGUAAACUGCUUUUGUACGGAACGAAAAGGCUCUGGUUAAUACCUGGAGUUUAUGACGGUACCGUAAGAAUAAGCACCGGCUAACUACGUG